RNAcentral lists this long non-coding RNA (35202 nucleotides) under Malus domestica (apple). Lineage: Eukaryota; Viridiplantae; Streptophyta; Magnoliopsida; Rosales; Rosaceae. The record is from RNAcentral.
CGUGUAUUCCGUGUCUUCUGUGUCCAUUUUAUUUGGAGAAGAAAGAAGUUUGUGUCUUCUAAACACAGAUAAACGCCCUAGAAAAAACCAGAGAAGAGUAAAAAAUGGGCAAGGGAGGCCAAUCCUGCAAUGGCAUGGUUAGAGAUGUCAAACCUGUGGAGAAGGAAAACAUGGCUGCUUGGCUCGUUGAUGUUAACACCAUCAAGAUCCUACCUUUCAAGCUCCCCACUAUUGGUAAUAAUCUCUCUCCUUUUUAAUUUCGUUGUUGUUCUGUUCGGUUUUUAGUUUCAGUUUGCAGUUCUAUAUUUUUUUUUGUUUUCUUGGAUGUAUAGCUAACUUGUUUUUCCCCUAUUUUGUUGGGAUUUCUUUAUUUUAGGACCGAAUGAUGUUCAAAUUCGAAUUAAGGCUGUCGGCAUUUGCGGAAGUGAUGUUCACUACCUCAAGACCAUGAAAUGUGCGGAUUUUGAGGUUAAAGAGCCGAUGGUGAUCGGACAUGAGUGUGCUGGGAUCGUAGACAAAGUUGGGAGCGAGGUGAAGCAUCUGGUGCCCGGUGACCGAGUGGCGGUUGAGCCCGGCAUCAGCUGCGCACAUUGCCAGCAGUGCAAAGGAGGCCGCUACAAUCUCUGUCCCGACAUGAAGUUUUUCGCCACCCCACCGGUUCACGGUGCCUUGGCUAAUCAGAUUGUGCACCCUGCAGAUCUGUGCUUUAAGUUGCCGGAAAAUGUGAGCUUGGAGGAAGGGGCAAUGUGUGAACCCUUGAGUGUUGGGGUUCACGCUUGUCGGCGAGCCAAUGUUGGUCCUGAAACAACUGUUCUGAUCAUCGGCGCAGGGCCUAUUGGUCUGGUCUCAGUUUUGGCCGCUCGUGCUUUCGGGGCACCAAGAAUUGUUAUAGUGGAUAUGGAUGACAAGCGUCUAGCGAUGGCAAAGUCUCUCGGGGCUGAUGACACCGUCAAAGUUUCAACAAAAAUGGACGAUUUAGAUGAUGAAGUUGCCGAAAUUAAAAAAGCCAUGAUCUCCGAAGUGGAUGUGACCUUCGAUUGUGUGGGUUUCAACAAAACCAUGGCGACCGGCCUCAAUGCUACUCGUCCUGGCGGAAAAGUCUGCCUUGUCGGAAUGGGACACGGCCUGAUGACAGUGCCUCUCACCCCUGCUGCUGCUAGGGAGGUCGACGUUGUUGGAGUUUUCAGAUACAAGAACACAUGGCCGCUUUGCCUCGAGUUUUUGAGGAGUGGGAAGAUCGACGUGAAACCGCUUAUCACGCACCGUUUUGGAUUCACGGAGAAGGAGGUGGAAGAAGCGUUUGCAACCAGUGCUCGUGGGGGUAAUGCCAUCAAAGUAAUGUUCAAAUUGUAAAGACAGUGACAAGUUUUGUUUAUCAAAUUCUUAGUAGAAUGUAGAGGGUGGGUGAGGGUGGGUGGCGGUGGGGCUCGCGAUGGGGGUGGGGGUGGGGAGAUAUUAUUUACGUCAUCACAAUAAGCACGUUCCAUUCCAUUGUAUGGUUUUUUAAGUAAUGACAGUAUUACUUUUCGUGGGCUUCUCGUUCUGUUUGUUUUGUAUAUUAGUCCUGCAACUGCAAAGCUUAACAAAAGGACUCCUUACCUGUUUACUAACUUAACCUUUGAAAUAGAGUGCUUUAGAUCCAUUCCAACGUUCUAUUUUUUCAUCCAUGGUGAUAUCCGACUGACCAUAAACAGUGGAAAAAAAUUAAGGGGUGUGCUAUCUAUACAUCUCAUUUUACUUCUCACACUCCUUGAACAUUUAUGUUUGUUUAUUUUCUUCAAUUCAUCUGAUCCAAUGAUCGAAAAUUAAAAAUAUGUGUGAGAAGGAAGAUGGGGUGUGUGUGGAUAUCACACCCCUAAAAUUAAAAUGUUAUUUUGCCACCCAUUAUUAACAAAAGCGAGAUAAGCCAUAUGGUUGUUCCCCAAUAAUUGUGGGUAUUGAACAAAAAUGCCACGGUUGGUAAGCCGAUGCCUCAAUAUUCGUGGCUAUAGCUUAAUUUUUUAAUAGUUUUUUAGAAUAGUAAGAAAAGAAAAAUACCCUUGUUCUUAAGAGCAUUUUCAAAUGAGAUGUCAAAAAGUCCAUGUAACAUCCCACAUCAACCAACGGAGAGGGGGUGAUGUGCCUUAUAUGUACAUGCCCACCUCCAUAUAGCACGAGGCCUUUUGGGAGCUCACUAGUUUCGAGUUCUAUCGGACCUCCGAAGUUAAGCGAGUUUGCGCGAGAGCAUUCCUAGGAUAAGUGGCCCAUUGGGAAGUUCUCAUGUGAGUUCCCAAAAAAUAAAACCAUAAGGGCGUGGCUGAGGCCUAAAGCGGACAAUAUCGUGCUACGGUGGAGCCGGUCUGGGAUGUGAUAGAAUGGUAUCAGAGCCACUUUGCCGUUCGGUGCGAGUGUGCGGACGAGGAUAUCGGGCCCCUAAGGGAGAUGGAUUGUAACAUCCCACAUCGACUAACGGAGAGGGGGUGAUAUGCCUUAUAUGUACAUGCCCACCUUUAUAUAGCAUGAGACCUUUUGGGAACUCACUGGCUUCGGAUUCCAUCGAAACUCCGAAGUUAAGCGAGUUCGUCACUAUGAGCGCAUAGGCGGAAGCCGUUUGCAAGUCCGGAUUAUAACGGUAUAGUUAUAGAAGUUUGAAAUUGGUUAUUUACAUUUUAGAUUAUAAAUAAAUUGAACUCCCAUCUUGUGGAAAAGAAGCCAAUCAGAUUUAAGCAAGAAAAUAAGGGACCAAAUCAAUUAAAGUAAGGGAGGACCAAUCAAAAAAUUUGAAAAAGAGGGAGUUAGCCAAUGAGGAGAUGAGAGAGAGAAGCUCUCAACUUCCCUUCCCGUAGCCCUUCACACGCAGAAACCUGAUUUUGACCCGAAGUGGUUUCCGGCGGUCUUCCACCAUUUUUCAGGCGAUUCAUUCACAUCCAACACCUGCAACUUCUUCCAUCACUUCCCAUCUACCAUUUCCGCCCAAAAUUGAAGGGUUUUAGGUCCAUUUUUGUGUAGAACUUCACCAGAGAACCCGGAGGUCCUCGAUGGCGAUUCGUCGAUCCGGCGAGCUGCACCACCCUUAAUCAAUUUCCCUUGGACCCAAGAACAAGACCCAACCAGUGAUAGGGGCAUUGGAACACCGAGGAAUGAGAAUCGAAGAACACCCACCUUAGGUUUCCGGUGGGUGCGAGCUAAAUUGGAGUUUUUCCAAGCCAAAUUGGACUUGGCCACAGGUAUAAAACUUUCUCUACUCAUUGAGAUCUUCAUUUCUAUGAAAUUUGAGAAUUUUUAGAAACAGUUGAUUUUUCCGGCGAGUAGGGACGGCCGACCAUUAUGUACGGCAGUGAAUGGGCCGAGGUAUCCCCUAACCUUCCUAGGCUAAAUUUGAUACCCCAAUUCCAUAUGUGAAGUCCGAUUGAUGGAAUUUCAUCGUUUGAACAUAGUUAUGAUACAAAUCGUUACUUGAUCCUUAUAUGAAUUGACGAUCCGACCGUUGGAUCGUCACCAAACUUUAAUACAUUAUAAUACAUAAUAUUUGAGGACAAUAGAAACUAACGGAUUGGGAAUCCGACAAACGGAUCUUCCCGAACUGGAUUUGUAAGCUCGUAAAAUGAAACGUCGGUCGCCACUUAAUUCUAGCAAUUGGCGGAAAUCCGACCGUUGGAUCGUAAUGAAAUUUAGUAUGAUGUUCUAGAAGCAUAAUGUGUAUCUUGAGGAUGUAUUUUAUGUAAAUUACAUGUUCUAGUGAUAAGCAUUCUAAGACGUUAUUUGAUAAUUGUUCUAAGCGAUGAUGAUUCGUGAUGCCUCGAUAUUUGUGCUAGGGAAUUGUAGCACGGACUUCAGUUGAGUGAGUCUUUUCCUUUUUAUAGUAUAUAUAUGAUUGAUAGUUCAACAAAUGCUUUUAAAUUGAUUUAGGCAUUUUAUGCCAUGUCAUAUAUAUAUAUAUAUAUUUUAAAUACUAUCAUAUGGUUGAGUUUUAAAUUGCAUCAUGGCAUAUCCAUAUGCAUAUUACCUGCAUAUAAUUGUUGUGAAUGCUUGGAAGUGUUAAGGUGAACGCGGGACGCUCAAGUAAGUUCAGGUGAGUUUAUGGUGUUAUUUGAAAUGAUUGAGUUAUGGCAUGACUAUAUUUAUGCUUUAUGCAACUCCAACACUGUCGUACAGGUUGCAAUAAUAGGCAACUCCGACCUUGUCGUACAUGUUGCAAUAAUAGGCAACUUCAACAUUGUCGUACAUGUUGCCUAUUGAGUAGUACAAGUUGCCUUAGGCAACUCCGACUCGUGUGUUAUCAUAGAUUGAUUUAUGAGUCGUAUAGGUUGCCUUAGGCAAUUCUGACUCAUGUGUCAGCAUAGAUUGAUGAGCACCUGAUUUUAUUAUACCGCUGCUGAUAUGUAGUGAUUUGGAAUAUUUCUGGAUUUACUGUUGAGUUGCAUUUGAUUUCAUACUUAUAUGUAGUAUGAUUUUUUGGAAACUAUACAGGUUUUACAAUAAUGGGUUAUAACAUUUUCAAAAGGUUUUUAUUAGAACUUUAUUUUCAGGCCCACUCACCUUUGUUUUUUCCCCAUCCAGGUUUUAAUAGCUGAGCUUUCUUAUUGACGAGAAUUCGUGGCAAAUCUUGGUAUUAGAGAUUACCUUUUAUGGUACGAUUCUCAAUCUACUCUACUGUACUUUACUUAUACUCUGACUUCACGUGUGAAAUGCGUUCAUUCAUGCUCAUAGCGCACUCUUCUAUUUAGGCACUUUUAGGUUUAAAUUCAUUCACAUUUUCCACAUCACUACACUUUAUGGCUUCGCCACCUUCCAGGUGUCGGCCAACACAACUUGAUUCGGAGUCCUAGUGGACAAUCCAGGUCGGGAUGUGUCCAUGCCCUCACGGUUUUAUUUUUGGGAACUCACACAAGAACUUCCCAGUGGGUCACCCAUCAUGGGAUUGCUCUCGCGCGAACUCGCUUAACAUCGGAGUUCCGAUGGAACCCGAAGCCAGUGAACACCCAAAAGGUCUUGUGUUAUAGGAGGUGGGCAUGUACAUAUAAGGCUUAGAGGAUCCACUCCCCUGGGUAGUGUGGGAUGUAAUAAUAUUAUAACAUCCCAUAUCGACCAAUAGAGAGGGGGUGAUGUGCGUUAUACGUACAUGCCCACCUCCAUAUAGCACGAGGCUUUUUGGGAGUUCACUGGCUUCGGGUUCCAUCGGAACUUUUUAGUUAAGCGAGUUCGCGCGAGAGCAAUCCUAUGAUGGAUGACCCACUGGGAAGUUCUCGUGUGAAUUCCCAGAAACAAAAUCGUGAGGGCAUGGUCAGGACCCAAAUAAGACAAUAUCGUGCUACGGCAGAGUCGAGCUCGGGAUGUUGUGGGGGGCCCGGGCCGGGAUGUGACAGUCUACAUCAACAAUAACAGUAAUAAAAGACAUCACUAGUGUUUUCCAACCAAAAUACAAAUUCCUAUGUGACAUGACAUAAAAAUGCAGCAGAUAAAGUUGCUGUCAAAUUUGACAACAUCUUCAAAUCUAUUUUUAGUAAUUAAUAAAUACCUUUUAUAAUUUUUUAAUAGUUAUCUUUUGUUUUAAAAUACUAAUUACAACUAUAAAAAGUAAAUAAUGUAAUAAAUAAUAGUUUAAAUUUGACAUAUCGGUUGGAGAACAGAAUUGAUACAAAGAUCGAUGGGCCACAUAAGCCUUCAAAUUUAAAUUUGUGUUUAAAUUUUGACAUCUCCUUUAGAUGGUCUAAAGCAUUCUUACCUAACAGGCUACCUCCUUUGCUCUACCGAAUACUCUUGAGCAGUUUUUCUACCCUGCGCAUUACCCACAUGCAAAUGCAUUGCUCAUCAACUUCUAAAACCUGAUCACGAUCACUUGUUUUCAUUUUAAAAAAAAAAAUGAAAGGCCAAGAUUUGAUUAAGUGAGCUGAUGCUCAAUUUCUGCGCCCAUGUAGGUGAUGCGCAUGAGAAAAAUUGUACUCUUUAGAGCAAAUUUUUGUUAGGCUUUUUGGGAUGCAAAGGAAGAGGUCUAAGACUCUAAGUUACAGUUCAUGUUCGACAAAAAAAUUGUACUAUGGAUGGAAUUAUGCAACAAUAAGAAUAUAUAUAUUUUUUUUUGUCAAAUAACAAUAAGAAUAUAAGAUAGUGUUAGGAAUGUGCAACCGGACAAAAUAAAAUAUCUUAAAGCAAAAAGGGUUGACAUGGACUCAAAAUAUAAGUGCAAAAGAGCUAUUUUAUCAGUGGAGGGCAUUUUCAAUAUGUGACAUGGCACAACUAGAACAAAAAUAAAACCGCGUCGAGAGAAGAAUGAUGGCGGGAUUUAGACCGGAAUUACUCGUAAAUCGGCAUAGACCUCCUAAAGUGAAGAUUUAGGACAAUUUUGAACAAAGUUUUUGGGAGGACUAAAGUAUAGUCUAAUUUUGUUGUAAACAUAAUCAAACUCAAGCGUAAGCUGGUGGAUCAGUUUAAUUGUAACCACGAACAUAGUGAAAUUCUUCAUAACCUUUCCAAGCCUAAAAUGAGUGGAUAACCGUAGUUUUCCAUCAGUUGUUUUCUUUUUUAACAAAAUAAAAAAUGCAAGAUAGAGUAAGCUUAUUGACUUGUUCAAGUGACUUUACUCACAUCUACUAUAAACCCUUCAUUCAACACAUAUGACCAGUUGUUGUUGAGGCGGGUUUGAGUGUGUAUUGCCGUGGCAUUUGUUAUCCAACUGUUAUUAUAACUAGGGUUCGAAUUGUUGACCGUCUAGCGGCCCUCUGACAUUCAUACUCCACUUCGAAGAAACUUCAUCACUGAUCUUUGAUGCGCCGAGUUGGCAACAGAAACCCCAAAGGACGGUUAAUCUGACGGUUAUUAUUUAAUGAGUUUUCUUUGGUCCUUGGGAUGUUCACAUUGCAACAUUUAUGAGUAAUUUAGUCGUUUGACAAUUUAGUUUGCCGACCAAAAGAAUUGAUAAAUAGAUCAUACAUUUUUAUUUGAUAAACUUCAUGUUUAUACCAUUCGCUAAAAUAAAUAAGACUAACUUGCAUCUUUAAAUGGUGGCCAGGAAAAAGCUAAAAUGUCUCUGUGAGUCUUCACAGCCUCAAGAAUAAUGGUUUGCCGUGGCAAAGCCACCAAUUGGUCCAUUUUGAUAUAAAAUAAUAUAUUUUUAAAUAGUAAAUUAUGUUGAUUGAUUUUAACCAAUGCGUCUUAAAUUCAAACACUACCAUCUUCUCAAAGUCUAAAUGAAUUUAGUCGCCAAAAUAAAUAAAAGAUUUAUUUGAUGGAUCCCACAUAUCAAAUGAGUUUUUUUUUUCCAACAUCAAAUGAGGGAAUUUCUCCAAUUAUGUUUGCUUCUUGCAACCCUAAUCUUAGUUUAUGAUCAAAAUUGCCAAGCUAUCUACCAAAAAAUUGAUUCGACGUGGGACCCACGAGAUGGGUAAAGAGUAUGUUUGCUACAUCAAUCUGACUCUGCAUGUCGUGGAAUCCAUUCAACAGUCCCUAAUAUCCGUUGAUUAUUUGUUUAGGUGCGCCCCUACACAGAUGGUUAAGUUUCAACUUUGUCUCUCAAAUAUUACAAGUUUGAGACCUAAUUAUGAUCAAUAGUUGUGUGACAAUUUAUAUUUAUAUUUUUUAGUAUUAUCAUAUAAAAAAAUAUAAUGCAAGAGAGACUUUGUUUUAUAGAUCACAUUUAAAUGAGUAAUGCAAGAUAAAUUAAAUUUGUAGAUUAAAUGAUAUGUUGCUAAUAAAAAAAAUGAAACAUUCAUAAAAAUGGUUUGGCCUAAGUUUAUCUUAACAAAAAAAACCAUGUUAUACCUUUAUUUAAUGAAAAGACUUAAAUUUUAAUGAAAAACCCUUAAACUUUAAUAAAAAAUAAAAAUAAAAAAACUAAGAUUUUAAUGAAAAAAGACAUAAUUCUAAUAUUAAAAAAUAUUUUUAAAAAAAAAACUGACGCACGAGACCUGCUCAUCUCACACAUACUGUUUAUGAAACUUACUAUAUUGUUUAUAAAACUUAACGGUACUACAUUGUUUCUGAAACUUACUAUAUUGUUUAUGAAAUUUACUACACUGUUUAUGAUAUUUAACGGUACUAUACUGUUUAUGAAACUUACUACACUAUUUGUGGAAUUUAACGGUAUGAUACUGUUUAUGAAACUUAACGCGCACUAGGCACACAUGAUUUUAUUUUAUGUUUUUUUUUCUUUUUGUCCUUAUCAUUAAAUAAAGUUAUUAGAUGGUUUUUGGUUAAAAUGCAAAGUAUUGAAGUCAUUUUCAUUCAUUUUCCUAAAAAAAUAAGCAUGUUAAUCAACAUUUAAGUAAUAAUCAAAUUAUCAAACUUCCAAGUCAUUUAGUUUACACAAUUUAAUCUACAAAUUUAGUCUCCUAACAUUACCCAUUUAAAUUAUCUUUUUAAUAAGGGAACUUUAACGAAAAGUACCCGGUACUGUUCACUUUAACGAAAAACCACAUUUUUACACUAAAAAGUCAAUCAUGAUACUAUUCACUUUACCCUUUAUUUUGUCCUUAUCAUUAAAACUCAAAGUUUUCAAGCCCUUUUCAUUAAUUUUCCUUUUUAAUAAUCGUAAGGUUCAUAAUAGAAAUAAGUUUCUACCUCCAACAAAGAGAUGGAGCAUUUUCCAAACAAACUCGUAAAAUCUAACUUUAAAAUUUUAUUUGUGGUUUCAAAAUUACAAAUUGGUUGGGCUUCUGAGAUUGAGAACCGCAUCUCAGCCAAUUACGUGUGAUAUUCCAGAUGUAGACCAAAGUUUCGUUCCAAAGGAGAUACCACUCCCAAUUUCAAUAAGACGCACUUAAAUCUAAAAGUGUGAUUGUAACCAAUGAGGGUCAUAUUUCAUAAAAAAAUUACCUAUCCAUUCUACAAACGAUGUUGUUAGGGGGUUAAAUUAUUAAAUGUUAGGGAGGGAAAUCAGGGGGAAACGAAACCGCACUAAAGUGCAUAGGCAUUAUUCAUUUCCAUCGCUGCAAUAAAGCAUCAUAUGCGAUUAUCAUAUUAUUAUGUGUGUUAUUAAUUUAUGUAUUAUAAAUAUUAGUAGAUUAUAUUGCUAAUAUGAGUCUACAGCAGGGAUUAACUAGUAUACACACAUGUUAUAACAAUAAUUUAUAUAUAACAACGUGACAAUGAAACUGGACAAUUCAAAAUAUGUAUAAAUAAAUCAAGUUGCCUAGUUUUAUACAGCUGUGACAACCACAACCAGGUGAUCUUGUAUCUUCACGGGCAUCCUAGACUAAUAUAAAUACCACCCAGUAGCAACGCUAUUUCCAUCAAGAAAUCAAAGUAGUCUGUGUAUUCCGUGUAUUCUGUGGCUUCUGUGUCUAUUUUAUUUGGAGAAGAAGUAGUCUGUGUCUUUAAAACACACAAAACACUUCAGAAAAACAGAUAGUAGUAAAAAAUGGGUAAGGGAGGCCAAUCCUGCAAUGGCGUGGUUAGAGAAGCCAAACCUGUUAAGCAGGAAAACAUGGCUGCUUGGCUUGUUGAUGUUAACACCAUUAAGAUCAUGCCUUUCAAGCUCCCCACUAUCGGUAUUAAUCUGUCUUCUUUUUUUGAAUUUAGUCGUUGUUCCUUUCAAAUUUCAGUUUUUAAGUUUCCGUGCUCUCUGUUGUAUUAGCUAACAUGUUGCUCCCUAUUUUGUUGGGAUUUCUUUAUUUUAGGACCGAACGACGUUCGAAUUCGGAUAAAGGCCGUUGGCAUUUGCGGAAGUGACGUCCACUACCUCAAGACAAUGAAAUGUGCGGAUUUUGAGGUUAAAGAGCCAAUGGUGAUCGGACACGAGUGUGCUGGGAUCGUAGACAAAGUUGGGAGCGAGGUGAAGCAUCUGGUGCCUGGUGAUCGCGUGGCGGUUGAGCCCGGCAUCAGCUGUGCACGGUGCCAGCAGUGCAAAGGAGGCCGCUACAAUCUAUGCCCCGACAUGAAGUUUUUCGCCACCCCACCUGUUCAUGGUUCAUUGGCGAAUCAGAUUGUGCACCCCGCGGAUUUGUGCUUUAAAUUGCCGGAAAAUGUGAGCUUGGAGGAAGGGGCAAUGUGUGAGCCCUUGAGUGUUGGGGUUCAUGCUUGUCGGCGAGCCAAUGUUGGCCCCGAAACAACUGUUCUGAUCAUCGGAGCAGGGCCUAUUGGUCUGGUUUCAGUUUUGGCCGCUCGUGCUUUUGGGGCACCAAGAAUUGUCAUUGUCGAUAUGGAUGACAAGCGUUUAGCCAUGGCAAAGUCUCUCGGCGCUGAUGGCACCGUCAAAGUUUCAACGAAAAUGGAGGAUUUAGAUGGCGAAGUUGCCAAGAUUAAAGAAGCCAUGGAAUCCGAGGUGGAUGUGACCUUUGAUUGUGUGGGUUUCAAUAAAACCAUGUCCACAGGUCUCAACGCCACUCGUCCCGGCGGCAAAGUCUGCCUUGUCGGAAUGGGACACGGCAUGAUGACAGUGCCUCUCACUCCUGCUGCUGCUAGAGAGGUUGAUGUUGUUGGGGUUUUCCGAUACAAGAACACAUGGCCGCUUUGCCUCGAAUUUUUGAGAAGUGGGAAGAUCGAUGUGAAGCCGCUUAUUACACACCGGUAUGGAUUUACAGAGAAGGAGGUGGAAGAAGCCUUUGCAACAAGUGCUCGUGGGGGCAACGCCAUCAAAGUCAUGUUUAAUUUGUAAAGACAGCUACAUGUUUUGGUUAACGAAUUCUUAUUAGAAUGUAGAGAAAGGGAGAGGGGGAUUAUUUGCAUGUCAUAACUCAAUAAGCAAAGUUCCAUGUUUUUUUUAAUCUGUUACGAUGAAGCUUAAUAGAAACCGCUUACUCAUUUACCAAGAGCGAGAAAUUCCAGGGUUAUUGCCCAAGAAGGGUGGCUAUUGAACCAAAAUGCCACGGUUGGUGAGCCGCGGGUCACAACAUUCGUUGCCAUAACCGAACUGUAGGAAAGAGCACGAAAAGAAUGGUCUUUUCGGUACUCUACUUGAAUCAAACUUUUUAAACUGAAAAAUAAUUUUUAAAGUUUUAGGCCUUAAAAACUUAUUUAGUAGGACUAUUUUAAAAAACUGAACUUAAGUUCUCUAAAAACAUAAAAAGUGAGUUUUUAGAGUUUUUAAACUUAAACUCACUCAUUUCUUUUUUCUUCCUCCCCUCUCACUCCAAAUCUAUCUCUAUCUCUUUUCUUCUUCUAUCUCCUCUGUUUUUUUUAUACAUUUUUCGUCUCUCCUCUAAUUCGCUCUCUUCAUUCUCUCGGUUCUUUCUCUCACUGUUUUUCCUCUCUAUCUCGUCUGAUCCUCUCACUUCUUUCUCUUUCCUUCUAUCAUCUCUUACUUUCUUUCCUUCUCUCUCCUCUUACUCCCUCUCUUGCGACUCCCUCUCUUGCGGCCCCCUCUUUUUAGAUCUCUUUGUUUAAUUUAAGUCGUAAGAUUUAAAAAUUUUAAAUCACAAACCAAUCAAGUUUUUAAGUGUUAAAGAAAAUUGUUUUUAAGAAAUGUUCUUAAGAAAUGUUUUGAAAAAUGAUAAAAAAAAAAUUACAAAUAAGAUACCAAACAAACCCGAAUAUUCUUCAAGGUUUUGAUUGAAUAAUAUGAAAGACAACGCCAUAUCACCAGGGAAAAAAUGGUUAUAUAGUUUACCUAAAACCAAGACUUGCUAGGAAUCCUAUGUGAAACUUGCGAGAAAAAUAACAAAACUACAUAAUAUCCUCAAAACUAAAAAUCCAAAUUUGACAUAGCAAACAAAGGAAUUUAACCUAUAAAACCCAUAGAUCACAAAUUAUCAGUGAGUUUGACACGUGACACCGUUUUCGAAGAGAAAACAUAUUACGGGCCUAAAUCCGAGUUGAGAGCCCAAACCUAUGUUGUGUGGACCUUGAUGUUCUAUUUAGGCUUAUCAAGUUGAUCUUCGAUGUUGGAACUAAAUUCGAGCAUAUCUGCGGACGAAGACAGUGUUCAAUCGGAAUGACCCAUGAACUCCGUAGAAGGGUGAAUGGGGUUGAUUAUGGGUGUGAUUGAUUCCAUAUCGGAUUGCCUACAUAUCUCUGGGAUUAUCAAAUCACUAUUAUUGUUGAAGAAAUGAGUAUCUAUGAUGUGUACGACAUCAAAACACAUCAUUGACGAAGGUGCCUUGGCUUAGGUGCGUAAGAGAUGUUUUUCCAUGUCUACGCGUAGACGAAGGUGAGCAAGAGAUGUCUUUCCAUGUCUACGCCUGAGAGAAUAUGUGCGGAAAGAAUGUGUGUUAUAGCUAUUAGAUGAUCAGAGAGAAGUCCCAAAUAAAUACACAGGGUAAGAUAUUUAUGAGAUAUUGAGGGAGCAAUCCCUAUUUAACAGAAGAGACUAUAUAGGAGGAAAUCUAGGAUAAGAUAUUCAGUUAUCCUAAUAUUAUGAUUACAUUGCAUAAUCCACAAGAUAUCCUUAUUUGACUUGAAUUAGGGUUUCCUUACUUUGGAGACAAGUAAUAUAUUUAACGGGCUUAGAGCUAAUGGAGUUGUGAAGGAUUACCUUAUCAUGUGGUAGUCUGAUCCGGAAUACCCCGUGUAGCUAUGAUCUCACUUUGAGGACUUUCGAGUCAUUCUAACCACCCUUGUCUCAUGAGCCUAGAAAAAUCAUGAUCCCACGUUCAAGUUAUUCUGCCAUCUAUUGUAUCCAAUAUCAUGUCGUUCGAAAUCAAUCCUUUUUUUUGUCUCUAUCUGUGCUCUUAGCAUCGGUUUAGCCACACUGCUAUUGCUAUAUGGGAAUCAUGAAUCAUUCUUUAGUGCUAGCACUAAGUAAGCAAUUUUACAUCUCCCUAUGAUCGAGUAAUCAAACUACCUCUCUCUCUUCCUCAACAAGAUCUAGGCUUCGCUUGUCCUGAUCCUUAACUAAUUUCAAAACUAGAAUUGCUUCUUUUAAAUUUUGAAUUUGAGUUUUAAUUUUUUAAUUUCUUUUAAAACUCAAAAUAAUUAACAACCAAACCAAACCAAACGACUUCAGAUAUACAAAAAAAAAUUGAUUAGUAAAAUCUUCUUCGAUUCUCAUGGUAUUCCUCUUCACUUGGAAGUGAGACGUCUUAUAUUCGAAUAUCGUAGAUGACGAAUUCAAUACCAAAUUAGAUUGCUCAUUGUGUGGCUUAGCCAAACUCCUCAUUUCCUUAAUGUAAAAAUAUCGAUGUAUUAAAAAAAAAACUUCUUCGAUUCAAUUUUUACCGUAAGUACAUCGAAUCGGGGAUCGAUUUGAGGAGAAAGACGGAACGCGAGACAGAAGCUGUGGCUGGUGUGGUGGCUUAUGGUGCCGUAUGGUGGGCGGGGGAGCCUCAUUAGCGACAGUUGUUGCGUUGGCGUAUGUUAUUAUGAUUUCUGGGAUACAAUUGUUGACGGCCUCUUUGACUUUCAUGCUGGACUUGAAUUGAUAAACUUCACAAGCUGAUGCUGCACUUCAAAGAAACUUCGUCAUCUUUCAUGCGCCAGAAAAUUAGGGUUGCAAACAGAAGAACCCAGUUGACCGUUUAUUUUGUUUUCUGGUAUAUUAUCCGACGGUUAUUAGUUUAAGAGUUGGUCGGUAGGGUGUUGACAUUGCCAUUGCAAAAUUUUGGGAGAAAUAUUUUAGUAAUUUGACUAUAUUGAUUUUAUUAAUCAGUCUUUUGCCGACAAAAAAUUAGAUAAAUAAAUCAUACAUUUAUUUCAUUGGCUAAAACAAUUAUUAUUUUAUUUUUUUAACCAAAAUGGUUCAUAAGAUUGGCAUAACUUAUGUAUGGUCAUUGAGAUUGAAAAUCGAUAGAAGUGGUAACUAAAUUUGUCCACGGUCUAUUAUUUUGGUCAUUAUGUGAAUUUGAGAGUGUUUUUGUCCAGUCAACACCUCUACUUGUUUUUUCAUUUAGCAGAGAUUUUUUACGGAAUGACAAAAUGAUUGACAGUCUACAAACCAAAGCGCAAUUUCUAUCGAUUUUCAAUCUGAAUUACCAAAGUGAAGAGUUAUGUUAAUCUCAUAGAUUAUUUUGAUUAAAAAAAUUAAUAGUUCUCUAAUUCGAUAUUAUCUACACUACGAGUGGGAGAUUUAGUUAAAUCUCAUAAUGGACUAGUCAUAUUUCGAUAUUCUACACAAACGAGUGAGGAAGUGUACUAAACCUCACAACAAGUUAGUCAUAAUAAUUCAACAAAAUUUAACAUAACACAUUUUUCUUACAAAUGAAAACAAAUACAAAUAAACUGUAGUUCUAAGCAAUGGCUGGUACAAAUAUUUGUGAUAACCUAAUCAACAAAUAAGACUUUCUUUUACCAAAAAAAAAAAAAAAAAAACAAGUAAGACUUUCCUUCCAAAGAAGAAAAAAGGAAUAUUCGAUCUGAUUCCAUAUCAAGAUUCAUGGGGGUAAUUACGCGAAAUAUGUUUCCUGAUGGGGUUACAACGCUAAUCUUAAUUAAGCUCGAAAUUACUCAACUACCUACCCCAACUUGAAUCGACGUGGGACCCAACUGAUGGAUAAAGAGGACGAAUCCACGUCAAUCUGACUCUGCAUGCCGUGGAAUCGAUUCAGCAGUCCCCUCACAUCCGUUGAUUCUAAUGUAGGUGGUCCCUACACCAACACCAUCGCGCAUCUUGCACUCCACUUGAUAUUCGGCUGGUUUAGUAGUUGACAUUGUGUUUAAAUGAUAUUUCUCUUCGUAAUAAUUGUAAAAAAGAAGUUUUAAAUUGAACUUGCAUCGUUGAUGAGGCGAAUUUAAAAAUAGAUUUAUUUUAUAAAUAAAAAAUUUGACUGCUUUCAAGUUCCAAAAAGCUAGGCGAAAAUUUAUCUCGAAUGUUAUUUUGUGGUUGAAAAAAUAUAAACUGGUUAGGCUUCCAAAAUCGAGAAGGGCGUUCAUGGCACACAAUAACGGUUGUUGUUUAAAAUAUCAAUAUAUCGAUGUCAGUUAUCUUUGAUAGAAUUCAUGGUAAUUUAUAAUGCGAUGAGUGUUUAAACUUAUUCUUAUUUAGUCAAAAUUAGAGAAAAUUUUCUUUAAAAGUUCAAAAGUUUUAAAUCUGUAAUGGGUUCCGGUAAAAUUUAUGUACUGAAUCAUAUAUCUCGCUGAUAUAUAGUUAGGCAUUUCACUUUCUCUUUCCAUAUUGAUCCUAAUUUUUCGAAUAAGCUGCAUAUGAAGCCAAUUUAGGAAUGACAUUUGAGAUGCACAAAGUAGUUUCUCUCAAGAGGAGAUACCAAUCCCAAUUCAAACAAGAGACGCAUGUAUCCAAAAGUGUGUUUGUAACUAAUGGGAAUAUUCUUGAGAACAAAUCGCUCCGUCCAAAUCCAAAUUCUUGGGGUGUGACAUUCAUACCAUCACGUUAUACUAUUAAUUUAUGGAUUAUAACAUGCGUAGAUGACAUAAUUAUGAUAAAUAUACACGUAUUAUGAUAAGAAUGAAUUAAUUUCUCCACGUAAUAAUGUGACAAUUACAAUGAAAAUUUCCUAUAAUUAUCCAAAAUACACGUUAAAUGAUAAAUAUAUACACGUGUUAUGAUAAGAAUGAAUUAAUUUCUCAAUGUAACAAUGACAUUCACGAGGAAAGAUUUCAGAAUAAUUCAAGAUGCACGUUAAAUUAGGUUCCCCAGGACACGGCUGUGACAACCACUACUUGGCCAUGUGAGAUAGAUUCUAUAAACUUACAGCAGGUGAUCUUGCAGCUUCACAGGCUUCCUAAACUAAUAUAAAUACCACCCCGUAGCCACUCUAUUUUCAUCAAGAAAUCAAACAAGUCCGUUCAUUCCGUUUAUCCGUGCCUUUUGUAUUAUCUGUGUCUAUUUUGUUAGGAGAAGUAGUAGUUUGUGCCUUAGAAACACACUUUAGAAAAAACAGAGAGUAAAAAAUGGGUAAGGGAGGCCAAUCCUGCAAUGGCGUGGUUAGAGACGCCAAACCUGUUGAGCAGGAAAACAUGGCUGUCUGGCUAGUUGAUGUUAACACCAUCAAGAUCCUACCUUUCAAGCUCCCCGCUAUUGGUAUGUACUUAUCUCCCUACUUUUAUUUUCAUCGCUAGUUUUUUUUUUCGGUUUUUGAUUAUCAGUUUUCAAGUUUCGUUGAAGUAUUGGCUAACAUCUUGCUCUCCUGUUUAUUGGGAUUUCUUAAUUUUAGGACCGAAUGAUGUUCGAAUUCGGAUUAAGGCUGUUGGCAUUUGCGGAAGUGAUAUUCACUACCUCAAGACCAUGAAAUGUGGGGAUUUUCAGGUUAAGGAUCCGAUGGUGAUCGGACAUGAGUGUGCUGGGAUCGUAGACAAAGUUGGGAGCGAGGUGAAGCAUCUGGUGCCUGGUGACCGUGUGGCUGUUGAGCCCGGCAUCAGCUGCGCACAUUGCCAGCAGUGCAAAGGCGGCCGCUACAAUCUAUGCCCUGACAUGAAGUUUUUCGCCACCCCACCUGUUCAUGGUUCAUUGGCGAAUCAGAUUGUGCACCCCGCGGAUCUGUGCUUUAAAUUGCCGGAAAAUGUGAGCUUGGAAGAAGGGGCAAUGUGUGAGCCCUUGAGUGUUGGGGUUCACGCUUGUCGGCGAGCCAAUGUUGGUCCCGAAACAACUGUUCUGAUCGUCGGCGCAGGGCCGAUCGGGCUGGUUUCCGUGCUGGCUGCUCGUGCUUUCGGAGCACCAAGAAUUGUCAUCGUAGAUAUGGAUGACAGGCGUUUAGCCAUGGCAAAGUCUCUCGGCGCCGAUGGCACGGUCAAAGUUUCGACAAAAAUGGAGGAUUUAGAUGACGAAGUUGCCAAGAUUAAAGAAGCUAUGGGAUCCGAAGUUGAUGUGACCUUCGACUGUGUUGGCUUCAACAAAACCAUGUCUACGGGCCUCAAUGCCACUCGUCCUGGCGGCAAAGUUUGCCUUGUCGGAAUGGGACACGGGGUGAUGACGGUCCCUCUCACUCCGGCUGCUGCCAGGGAGGUUGACGUGGUUGGAGUUUUUCGUUACAAGAACACAUGGCCGCUUUGCCUAGAGUUUUUGAGAAGCGGGAAGAUCGACGUGAAGCCGCUUAUUACCCACCGGUUUGGUUUUACCGAGAAGGAGGUGGAAGAAGCUUUUGCAACCAGUGCUCGGGGGGGCAACGCCAUUAAAGUCAUGUUUACUCUAUAGCAAAUCAACCAUGAAGUUGCAGAAUUUCGGAUUGUUUGAGGGGGCAAGUUUGUGAUGGUUUGGAAAUUUGGAAGUCAUCAUCUCGGAUGAAGAAUGUUCUUGUUCUAAAGUUCGUGGAAACUUGUUGUACAGGGACCAUUGUAUACCUUUAUUAGAUCUCGGCAUGCACCAGUGUAGUAGCUUCCCGUAUUUUUAACAUGAGUCCGUCAAUAUAUAUGAACUAUGUAUGUAACUAAAAGUUCUUCAAUAUAAGUCUUUUUUUCCGCUGAAGUUGUUUUCAUUUGACACGAGUCUGUUGGCCUUGCUUCAGUUCCUUUGGACCAUCGAAGAGAGUACUAGACACAUCGUGAUGGAGAAAUAUAGACGUACUUCUAUUAGUGUAGAAAAUAUAUACCUUGAGUUACUGUUGUUCCAAUAGCAUUUCUUGCUGCAGUAGCGUAUGGUAGAGCAGUUUAUGAAUAUCUACGCGGUGGAUUUGAUUUUACCAAAGAUGAUGAGAAUGUUAAUUCCUAACAAUUUUACAAAUUAUCACAAACCCAACUUAUUAAGUUAGAGAAAUUGGUCACAAGAUGAACAUUCUUUAUCACUUAAAUUGCAAGUUACUCUUUCCUCUCUCUUUUUCACCCUAAGGCAUUUUCUUUUCACCCUAAAGUUGUAAACCUAAUACUUUUGUGUUAACGAUGGUUGUCCAAAUACUACUUUUGAGGGUUAAUAGAAUCUAAUAUUUCUUUUCUAAAACGAAAAAUAGUUAAAGAGCAAAGCAUUUAGAGCAAUUCCACCCCUAAGACUUUACGCCAGCACCCAGCGCAUUUAUCCACUCAAGUGAACAGUAAUAAACCCCAGUGAAUAGUAAUAGGUCAAAGCAUCUCCACCCCUAAAAAAAUGCGCUGGCACCCAGUCUAAAAAUGUGUUGGCACAAACGAUCUUCAGCCUUACAAAAUGCGUUGGCACCCAGCCCAUUUAAAAUUUUUUAAAUUUUUUUAUAAAAGAAUAAAUAAAUAAAAUAGUUUUAAUUUCGGAUAAGAUUUUUUAACCAAUCUUGUAACGCCAUGUGUCAUUAUCCGAACGUACUAUUUUGUGAAUAGAUUUCCUCUAAGAUUUGCAACCAAUCCCGAUGCGCCACGUGUCACUAUCUUCUUUUUUUUAAGUUUAUAUGGUGAGGUUAUGUAAUUUUAUGUGGUGUUUUUUUUUUUUGUAAAGUUUAUUUGGUGAGUUUAAUGUAAUCUUAUUUGGUGAGUUUAUGUAAUCUUAUUUGAUGUGUUUAAAUAAAGUACAAAAAAUAAAUUUGAAAUUACAUAAAGUUCUAAAAAUAAAUAAGAAAUUACAUUAAAAAUUACAUAAGAAAUUAAAUAAAGUACUACAAAGAAAUACGAAAUUAUACAAAGUCAGUGGAGCUAGGAUAUGUGGUGCUAGGAUCUUCGUUGCUAGGAUUUCUGUAGCUAGAACCCCUCGACUUGUUUCCGGUAUCAGGGUCAUGAGUAGUGUGAACCCAACAUUCACACAACGUAACAUCUUCAAUGUUCUUCCACGAAGAAAUUUUUUUCUCUCAAAGUGUAGAAAAUAUUGAAAUGUAGAUAGUGUAGAAAGUGUGGAAAAUAUUGAAAUGUGGUGUAAGGUGGAAGAUGAGGGUUAUGUAUUUAUAGAAAAAUAAUAAUUAUUUUUUUGUAUUUUUUUAUAAUUUUUAAUAAAUUUUAAUGUAGCUAAUUAAUCUGGGCCGUUGGAUUUGAAAAAUAUUCAAAUCCAAUAGCCUAUAAGGUGCCACGUGGCCAACGGUCAUAAUUCUGUGGGUUGAAAAACGUGGACCGUUGAUCUGUAAUCGAACGGUCCAGAUCAAAAUUAUAAUUCAAAUUUUUUUGACCGUUGGAAAUCCAACGACAUAUAGUGGGCCACGUCGCAAGCUCGGGUGACAAUUGAGUGCGCCUGUCAGCGGGCCCCGUCGCUGAAUUGAUGUCUGCUACUCGCGCCCACUCGAGCGUGAGUGCCAUGCGCCAGGCGCAAAAAAGAAAAUGGGCCUGUCCCUGGGUCAGUCAAUUUUAGCAUGGCCUGGAGACUAGCAUGGGCUGGGUGCCAGUCUAUUUCACGGGGACAGACCCCUAGCUUGGUUUUUUAACUGGGUGCCAGCACAUUCGCCCUCCGGUGGAAGUGCUCUUAUGUACAAACGAAGUCUAAAAAUAAUGCAUACCUAGCACAACUAGAAAUCUAAGAAUGAUCACUUAGUGUCUUUAGUGAGUCAAAAUAUUUGCAACAAAGUUCGGCUCACUCCAAACACGAAUGGACUCAAAGCCUUUUGGCUUGUAGAACACAUGUAUGAAGUGUUGAGGCUUCAUCGAUUGGGGCGAAGUGUGAGCCCUUGAGUCUUUUCGGCCUCCGAAAUAAUGGAAUGUUUUAACUUGACCAGCAACUGGUCCCUUUUUUUAUUUAAGAAAAUGUGAGUUUCAAUUAAUUUUAUAAACAAUUUUAAAUGUUAAACUCAUUAGUACUUGUGGCAAUGACUUGAUUACAUGUUAGCGAAAAGUAGCUCACAUAGAUGACAUGUUAUAAAAGUUAGUAGCGUAUUUGGCGAAAGUAACGAAACAAGAUAAAGUGAGACAUAAAAAUUGAGUUAGUAGAGUUAGAGCUAAGUGACACGAAAAUGAGUUUAUAGUGACAUAGUGAGUUUCACUCAUAGUUUAGGAGAUAUCAAAUUAAACGAUCAAUAUUUUCACCUUUUUAAAUUACAAGAACCCUAAUUAUAUUCUACAAAUUAAACAUUAACCCUUACAAUUUUUAUUUGGACUAACUAGUUGCCAAACCACAAAGAUCCGGCCCAAAUCCCGUCCAUCUAAUCGCCUCACGCCAAACUUGAACUUCACUUCCUCCCACUAUGAUCUCUUAUAUACAUAUUUUAGGGAACUUGUAGAGAAUCGACAAAAAUGUAUUUUCAUGUAGCCUUGCUUAGCCAAUAUGCUCAUCACUGAGCUAUCCAAUAUAUCGCCGACAUUGAUGCAUCGACAAUAUUGACAAAGACCGUCUGUGAUCUUUGGGAGAGACAAUCAACUUGUUCUUUGUUAAUAUCGUCGAUGUGUUGAUAUUCCUUGUCAGUAUUUUCAAAAUGGUAAUGAGUUCUAUUGAUGUUCAAAAUGGUAAUAAGUUCUAUUGAUGUUGUUGAUAUUUUCACUUGAGAAAUGUUAAGAAGAUUUAAAAAAAAAAACGAAACUCUUUAUGAACUAUUUGCCACAUUAUACUUUUGUCACAAUGUUUUAUAAUGUUGGCAUUGAAAUUAACAUUAAACAGUGAUGUGGUAGAAAGUCCACAGAGAGUCUCACUUUGUGAGAGUCUCUUUAGCAUUUAUCUUUUUACUAUAUUGAGUUUAAGUGGUGGAUUCUCUUGAUGGUUAGGGUAUUUCUCUUCAACCCAUUAUAUUAUCCGGUCAAAAAUCCUAUCAUUUUGGAGUAAAUUAGUGUAGAACAUCAUUUGUAUGUUGCAUAUAUGAAAAAAAAAAAUAUUUGCUCACCGCCCUCACAUAAUGAUAAUACUCACCAACAUAAUUCGAGAUAUAUAUACUAGAUAUAACUUUCAAAAUUUAAGUUUAUCCAACAAAGAUAAAUAUUAUCAGCACUUGAGGGCCACGAUAAAAAAUACACCCAUACGAAAAGACGGUGUAAAUGAGAGGAGAGAUUUUGUAAGAGGGGCCACUAAAACAAAUUUUCCAAUAUAUUAUGCUUCAUACGCGUGUGUCUAACUGUACACCUUGUACGUGGCACCUCAUUAUCCAUUGUUGAUGUACCACGGCUCCCUUGUACAUAUUUUAGGGAACUUGUAGAGAAUCGACAAAAAUGUAUUUUCAUGUAGCCUUGCUUAGCCAAUAUGCUCAUCACUGAGCUAUCCAAUAUAUCGCCGACAUUGAUGCAUCGACAAUAUUGACAAAGACCGUCUGUGAUCUUUGGGAGAGACAAUCAACUUGUUCUUUGUUAAUAUCGUUGAUGUGUUGAUAUUCAUUGUCAGUAUUUUCAAAAUGGUAAUAAGUUCUAUUGAUGUUCAAAAUGGUAAUAAGUUCUAUUGAUGUUCAAAAUGGUAAUAAGUUUCUAUUGAUGCUGUUGAUAUUUUUACAUGAGAAAUGUUAAGGAGAUUUAAAAAAAAAACGAAACUCUUUAUGAAUUCUUUGUCAUAUCAUACUUUUGUCACAAUGUUUUAUAAUGUUGGCAUUGAAAUUAACAUUAAACAGUGAUAUGGCAGAAAGUUCACAGAGAGUCUCACUUUGUAAGAGUCUCUUUAGCAUUUCUCUUUUCACUAUAUUGAGUUUAAGUGGUGGAUUCUCUUGAUGGUUAGGAUAUUUCUCUUCAACCCAUUAUAUUAUCCGGUCAAAAAUCCUAUCAUUUUGGAGUAAAGUAGUGUAGAACAUCAUUUGUAGGUUGCAUAUAUGAAAAAAAAAAAAUUUGCUCACUGCCCUCACAUAAUGAUAAUACUCACCAACAUAAUUCGAGAUAUAUAUACUAGAUAUAACUUUUAAAAUUUAAGUUUAUCCAACGAAGAUAAAUAUUAUCAACACUUGAGGGCCACGAUAAAAAAUACACCCAUAUGCAAAGACGGUGAAAAUGAGAGGAAUGAUUUUGUAAGAGGGGCCACUAAAACAAAUUUUCCAAUAUAUUAUGCUUCAUACGCGUGUGUCUAACCGUACACAUUGUACGUGGCACCUCAUUAUCCAUUGUUGAUGUACCACGGCUCCCUUGACUUUAUCAUGCACAUUAAAGCAAGAAACUUCAGGAGGGUUGCAACUCACCGGUCACCGAAUUCGAUCCCACAUAUUUCUGACGCGGGAAUUAGUCAGUCGUCACCUACCUUGGACGCGUGCCAGAAACCCUAAGGCUUGCUGGCAACACAGAGAGCACAUCUCGUGUUUAAGCCUGGCUACACAGGGACCAACCAACUGUUACUAAAUAAUUAGGUUUUUGGUCGGUUUUUGUUGGUUGAUAAUGGAUGGUGGGAGUCAUUACUGCACAGAAUGGCUAAUAGAUUAUGCUAACCGACCAAAAAUAUAUUUAAUUCAGGCGUUAAAGGAAUCCCAUGAAAAGUAACAAAAGAAAAAGAUAACUUCUAAAACAAGAUUAUUAUUAUUAUUUUAAUUUACUAUUAUUAAGAGGAGGGGGAGAUUUUUUUUUUUAUCUUUUGGGGAAGAUAUUGAAACGACUAAUUACAUUAAUUUAGAGAACAUGAGAGUUUUUAAUCCUGAGCUAUAUAUGUAUAUAAACUCAACGCUCUAUCAAUUAGAAUAUUGAAUCACAUAAAAGAAAUAAAAUGAUAAUUUUGGCCCCUUACUCAAAUUUUUAGCCACAUCUCUCACCUACUUGAUCCAAAAAGAAAAAAAGCAUUAUUGCGUGCUUACCUGCUUGUUAGCUCUACCGACUCGUUCGAGCAGAUUAUAGUCAGGUAUUUUGGGGAUGCCAAGGCUAGGGUUUACUCGGAUACUAAGGUAGAUGAAAAUAAUGCCCAACAACAAUUAAAAUGGUGUUAGGAAUGUUGAAUAGGACCACAUAACCAGGACGUUAAAAUGAUAGUAUCAUGUGUUAUUAAGUGUUUUUUAUAAUACUGUCGUUUUGUCCUAUUACCAUGUAAUUUAAUUUUUCAGUUUGCUUCCGUUCAACUAUAAUGUUACCUUCUUUUUUUUUCCUGUCGACAAUUUUGUUUACUCCAAAGUUAUGAAGUCAAGGGAAGGAAGCCCUUGACAUAAUCUCCAAAAUUAUUUGAAUCUCUAAGUAUUUGCUGUAAGGAUAAUUAAACUGUUUGGAAUAAACUGAAGGAGGACAGCAUAUUCCAGAUUCCACUUUGAGUAAACCUAAACCUAACAUGGGCAUGACUAACAGCAAAACCGUGUACAUAGUACAUACUCAAACUUAGAUCGUCAAACUUAAAUAUUGUUACAACUGUCUUGAUUUGGAUAACGUUUGAUAAUCUCACUUUCAGCGUCCAAAUAUUUGGAUAAUCCAAUUGGAAAAUUCCUGCUAGCAGCUUAGGAAAAUGGAUGCACCGUCCAAGACUAAUGGAGGACGGCAUGUGGUAGAAGCUUUUCUACGCUAAGUGUGGAUUAGACUUGUUAAUUGUGGAUAACGCUAGAAUUCCGGCGAAAUUCAGUGUCAAACAUGUGGGGCUGGGGUGGGGGAUGGUGGUGGUGGUUUGUUCAUUGCUUUAAACCUAGUCAUAGAAAAAUGUGUAAAGUGACUAUUAUUUUAUUUUAUACAAACAACUUUAGAGAAAGGGGAUUGAAAACACAUGAGUUUGAGUACAUAGAAAAUGCUUUAAUCACGAUUACAAAAAAAAAUGCUUUAAUCACUCAAGUUACCAGAUCUCGGUUAUAAUAUGAGUUGAUUCUGUUUAGAAUUGAUGCUGAUUUGCAGUUUAUGUGAUCGUUAACUAUGAAGAGGGAUUGAAACACACAUAAAUGUUUUAAUCACUAAAGUUACAAUAUUUUGAUUAUACUCUGAGUUGAUUAUGUUGAGAAUUAAGGCUGAUUUACAAUUUAUAUGAUCCUUAAUUACGAAGAAAAACUUGUGUUUGACUAACCAUAAACGACCUAAAAGAUUAAUAAGUGAGACAAAUUGUUAGGAUCACAUAUAGCUCUCUAUGCGUCCGGUGGAUCAUGGUUGCACUUGUAGGUUUCUUGAUACACCCCCUCUCCCAAUCUGUCAUCGCUAGUCUUCUUGAUGACAUAUAAAGGGCUGUUUGGAAAACAGUAUUAAAAAUGGAGUGCUAUGCAGAAAAGCACUCUUGGUAAUUAUAUAAAACGAAACUUUUCAAUUUUUUUGACUUAUCUAGCAUAUGUGUCAACAAUUUGUAAGAAUGUGAAAGUACUCCUUCUGGGAAACAUCCAGGCAAUGUCCCACAAUUAAAUACAUUUAUUAAUUUCUAAAAAUAAUUAGAUAAUGUUCCAGGGUUGGCUUAUCCAACUUACAAACCAACUUUACCAAAUCAGACUCUCAAGUUUGCUAUAAAUACCACACCCUAGCCAAGCUUGCUCCAUCAAAAAACACAACUAUUCUGUCUUUCAAACACAGAAGACACAGAGCAAACAGCGAAAGCAAUACACUUCAGAAAGAAAAAAAACAGAGAGCAAGUAUCAAAAGCAUUAUGGGUAAGGGUGGGCAAAAGAUUUAUGGAUUGGCUAAGAAAGCCAAACCUGUUCAGCAAGAAAACAUGGCUGCUUAUCUUGUUGAUGUCAACACCAUCAAGAUCCUACCUUUCAAGCUCCCCAGUAUCGGUAUUUACUUCUCUCCCUUCUUUUAAAUUCAUCGUUAUUUUUUUUCGGUUUUUUGGUUUUCACCGUUGUAGUGAUGCUAACAUGCUGCUCCCCUGUUCUCUUGGGAUUUCUUAAUUUUAGGACCCAAUGAUGUCCGGAUUCGGAUUAAGGCGGUUGGUAUUUGUGGAAGUGAUGUUCACUACCUCAAGACCAUGAAAUGUGCGGAUUUUGAGGUUAAAGAGCCGAUGGUGAUGGGACAUGAGUGUGCUGGGAUCGUAGACAAAGUUGGGAGCGAGGUGAAGCAUCUGGUGCCUGGUGACCGGGUGGCGGUUGAGCCCGGUAUCAGUUGCUCACGGUGUCAGCAGUGCAAAGGAGGGCAGUACAAUCUUUGCCCCGACAUGAAGUUUUUCGCCACCCCACCGGUUCAUGGUUCCUUGGCAAAUCAGGUAUAAAUUUCGACUUUCUUAACCUUUGUGACAUAUGAAUUCUAUGGCAUCAGGACCGUAUAUAAUGACCAUCUGUUUUUAACAGAUUGUGCAUCCUGCGGAUCUAUGCUUCAAGCUGCCAGAGAAUGUGAGCUUGGAGGAAGGGGCAAUGUGCGAGCCCUUGAGUGUUGGAGUUCAUGCAUGUCGGCGAGCCAAUGUUGGUCCCGAAACAACUGUUCUGAUCAUCGGAGCAGGGCCUAUUGGUCUGGUUUCAGUUUUGGCCGCUCGUGCUUUCGGGGCACCAAGAAUUGUCAUUGUGGAUAUGGACGACAAGCGUUUAGCCAUGGCAAUGUCUCUCGGCGCUGAUGGCACCGUCAAAGUUUCAACAAAAAUGGAGGAUUUGGAUGACGAAGUUGCCAAGAUUAAAGAAGCAAUGGAAUCCGAGGUGGAUGUGACCUUUGAUUGUGUGGGUUUUAAUAAAACCAUGUCGACGGGUCUCAACGCCACUCGCCCCGGCGGCAAAGUCUGCCUUGUCGGAAUGGGACACGGCAUGAUGACAGUGCCUCUCACUCCAGCUGCUGCCAGGGAGGUUGAUGUGGUUGGUGUUUUCCGGUACAAGAACACAUGGCCACUUUGCCUCGAGUUUUUGAGAAGUGGGAAGAUCGACGUGAAGCCGCUUAUUACUCACCGGUUUGGAUUUACCGAGAAGGAGGUGGAAGAAGCCUUUGCUACCAGUGCUCGUGGGGGUGACGCCAUCAAAGUCAUGUUUAAUCUAUAGAAAGUUAGCUAUAAGUUACGAAAUUUCGGAUUCUUUGAGACGACAAAUUGUGAUGGUUCGGAAAUCUUAGAUGUAAAUUAGCUACAGUUUAGUUUUUUUAUUUUUUUGUACAAUGUUCUGGUUUCUACUGUUGGGGAAAGCCUUAUGGUAGAACCUAAGCUUGUUCAUGUACAGAGUUGUAAAUUGAUUUAUUUGACAUUAUUUCCUUCGAGAAAUAUGAACUAUGUAAUGUUACAUUAUUUGGAAAGAUACUUCAAUCAAUAUAUGACUUUUUUUUUUAUCACAAGCUGUGUUUAUUUAACACAAGGUCUCGGUCGCUCUUCCAUUUGGAGCAUACAUAAGUAUUACAAGUACACAGUCGAAAUUAAAUCAUCUCAACUUAUUUUGUGUGUGACCUUUCGUUUACUUAUCAAUCCACAUGGUGUUGUUUAAGAUGAAAGCCUUCAUUGCUUUUGCAGCAAGUUACUCUUUUUCUCUCUUUUUCAUCCCAAGGCAUUUUCUUUUACCUUUUUUCACCCUAAAGUUUUAAACUCUAAAUAUUCUUGUGCUAGUGAAGCCAGAUAUAAAGAGGUGUUAAAACAAUUUCUAUUCAACUAAUAAAUAUAAAGAUUUUGUGAAUAUUAAACUUAUUGGUACAAGUAACUUAGCAAAAAAGUAGGUCUUACAUAUUGCGACGUCCAAGAAGCUAACAGAGUAUUUUGACAAAGUUGAGUUCAGGAGGUUAAGUGAUACAAAAAUGAAUUUCAAGGGAGCAAAGUGAAACUCAAACGAUAGUUUUGGAUUUAUAUCAAUAAUUAUGCAAUCAAUAUUUUCAUCUUAUAAUACUAUAAGAAUUUGAGUAGCGCUACAGUUACUAGCUAUUUUUAUCAUCAUUUGUACCAUCUAUGUAAUAAAAAUUGGUACAAAUAAUGUUACAAAUAAAUGGUAUAAAUAACAUUUUUAUAAGAACUUUAACAAUUAUGCAUUUAGAAAUUAAACAUAACCGUUAUCAAUUUUUAUAUUGAUUUUCUAUGGACACUUUAAAGCAAAUAGGCUAUUCUCUCAAUUGAGUUCUUUAUUUUAGUUGUCGCCUGAUGCAAAUGACUAAAAACUCUCUUACAUGAAACAGGUCCUAGAGCUGUGAAUUGGGGCAAAUAAAUGCGGAUUGGGGCGGGUCCAACUAUUAGAAACAUACAAUGGGGUGAGGCGGAGCGGGUCCAAAUGGAUGAGGAAACAGGACCUGGACCCGAACCGUUUCUAGGGUUAACUUAUAGAUGGAGAUUAAAUCUCCACUAUUGAGUGUCUAUCUAGUCAGCUCCCACAGUUGGUUUUUAAUGUAAGAUUCUCUUUGUCUCUGUUGCUGUGUCUCUCUCACUUAAAUCAGUCUUUAUGUCGAACUCGAAGGGACGAAAUCACGCAAUCCAACAACUCGAAACGACGAUAGCAGUAUUAGUAAUCUCCUCCGUAUGACUGAGUCGACACCUUUACCUUCAACUUUAAGGUAUUAUGAUUUAGGGAUUUAGGAUUGAAAAUAAAUUAGGGUUUUCUAGUUUCAGACUUUUUUAGAUUUAGUUAUUUAUAUAUCUCCUGUGAUAGUUUUAGUCUUUCAUACUUGGUUCUGUUUCAGGAUUGUGAAGAAUUUUAAUUAUGCUGCUGGGAAUUUGCUAAUUUGUUGUUUGUGUGAUUUGGUUGGGAUUGCAUAAUGACUUGGGUUUCUAAAUUAGGAGUGUGCAAUAUUCUUUUCUCCUAAUUAGACUCUAUACAGGGCAAGGUUUACAAAUGAGAAGCAGAUGUUGCAGUGGUACUUACACCAAUUUAAAUAUUCUGUUAUGAAAAAAAAAACAUAAAUAGAAAAAUAGCAUAAAUAGUCCCGUUACAUUUUAAAACAUGUAUAAUCCGAUCACUUCAAUUUAGUCCUAACGCGACCCUUGCCCACCCCCACAUAAAACUCUCUACCCUCCUAUCUAUCUAUUAUGUAAAAAAAAAAAAAGGCACUAAAAACUAAAAUUGUAAUUUAGUAACCCUCUAAAUUCCCAUAAAUUGCAAAUUUCAUCCAUAUGACACUGUGUCGUCGUCAACCAUCAUUUUUACCAAGUAAAACAAGACCAGCCAUUAUCAUGUCCAAAAGGCCAUAUUUGAUUGCCGGUCAAAAGCGGGAGACGCCACAAUUCUACGAUUGCAACUCUUAUUAAUAUAUUGUAUUAUUCAACUUGCUUGAUUCAUGUUUGUCCCAAGAGACAUUCUUUGGAGGAUUUUAGAGAAGAAAGGAGUACGAGUAGCAUAUAUCCAAGCUAUAAAGGAUAUGUACGAAGGAGCAAAGACUGCUGUAAGAACUCAUGAAGGACAAACUUCCCCAUAGCUGUAGGAUUACAUCAAGGCUCAUCCUUAAGUCCUUACCUUUUUGCGUUGGUAAUGGAUGAGUUAACAGGACAUAUUCAAGAUGAUAUUCCUUGGUGUAUGCUUUUCGCAGACGAUAUAGUGUUGAUAGAUGAAACUCAGGAAGGGGUAAAUGAGAAGCUUAACCUUUGGAGAGAAGUGUUGGAAUCUAAAGGUCUUCGCCUAAGCCGAUCAAAGACAGAAUAUAUGGAGUGCAAGUUCAGUGCAAAUGGAGGCCAAAAUGAGUUAGGGGUGAGGAUCGGAGAUCAGGAAAUACCAAAGAGCGACCGUUUUCGCUACCUAGGAUCUAUCUUGCAAAAGAACGGAGAAUUAGAUGGAGAUCUCAACCAUAGAAUACAAGCUGGAUGGAUGAAGUGGAAGAGUGCAUCCGGCGUGUUGUGUGAUCGUCGUAUGCCACUGAAACUUAAGGGAAAAUUUUAUAGGACGGCAAUAAGGCCGGCGAUGCUGUAUGGCACAGAAUGUUGGGCGGUGAAGCACCAACACGUACACAAAAUGGGUGUAGCGGAGAUGAGGAUACUUUGUUGGAUGUGUGGGCACACGAGAAAGGAUAAGAUUAGGAAUGGGGAUAUCCGAGGUAAAGUAGAAGUAGCCGAAAUUGAAGGAAAACUGAGAGAAAAUCGGUUACGGUGGUUUGGACAUGUGCAAAGAAGGCCUACUGACGCUCCGGUUAGAAGAUGCGACUACGGGACAGAGGUUCAGGGCCGAAGGGGUAGAGGAAGACCUAGGAAAACUUUGGAAGAGACUCUAAGAAAAGACUUAGAGUACUUGGAUCUAACGGAGGACAUGACACAGGAUCGAGCACAAUGACGUUCUAAGAUUCAUAUAGCCGACCCGACUCAGUGACUUGGAUUUUUCAAGUCUCCAAUCGAGAAGUUUUCCCCACUCGGGAAAUUAAGGGAACACUACCUCAACCUACAUGCUCCACUCACAAAGCUUCAACAUACAAGCUUCAACAAAAGAAAAAUUCAAAGAACUUAGUGAAGAAGGCUUUGGUGUAUUUAACACAAUACGUUGAAAUGAAACAAAGCUUAUUUAUUGAUAUCUCUGAGAAGUUACAAAUAUGUACAUAUACACGAGUCAAAAUAAACAAACAAGAGGGUUCCUUCACAAAGGUUGCUUAGGAGAAGUCUCAGCAGUCGGCAGAGCCCCAGAAAGAGAAGGCACUGGAGGGGGAUCGUUCGGAGCCUCAGUAGCCUCAGUACUGGAUAGCACCCUAGAAGGAUGAGGCAUCAGAGGUUGAUCAUUUGGAGCUUCAUUACGCGGUACAGCCCCAGAAGACGAAGGCAAUAAAUGUCUUUGGAACAAACCCACAAACCUCUGAUGAUCAUGUAAAAUCUGACCAUCAGAUUCCUUCAUCUGGUCAAGCUUCCUUUUCAUGUUUGUAGCAUAUUCAUGAGCGAGCCGGUGCAACUGUUUAUUCUCAUGCUUGAGCCCUCUAAUCUCCUGUUUGAGACUCAUCACUUCAUCCGCCAAUGAUUCAACUUGGCGGGUUCGAGCAAAUAGGCGUUGGGCCAUAUUAGACACAGAACCUGCACACUGAACACUGAGAGCCAGAGAAUCCUUAACAGCCAACUCAUCAGACCGUUUGGAAAGUAGUCUGUUAUCUUUGGAAGUAAGAAGGUUCCUGGCCACCACCGCAGCGGUCAUAUCAUUCUUCAUCACGGAAUCCCCAACGGUAAGAGGAUCAGUAGGGGAUAAGAAGGAUGGGCGCCAUAUGUUGUCUGGAGAAGGCGUGGCUGCCUCUUCAACAAGAUUCAAGUCUAAACGACGGUCGGAGGGGCCAGACAUUUUCAAAGGUGUUGAAGAGAAAAGAGGUCGGACAAAUCAAGAUCUUAGAAAUGCAAGAAGGGAGCUUCUACUGGUGAAGAUUCAAGUGUGCUUUGGAACUUAAUACCAGCCUCUAUAAAAAUCCGCACUCGAUGGAGCUUCAGAAAUCGAAGAGGCGCCUGCUCAGAAAUCGAAAAGGCGUUUGCUUUCUCAAAAGCUGGGCUGCUUAGAGACCACGAGGGCCGAUCUCAGGAAUCGAAGAGGCGUUUGCUUUCUCAAAAGCUGGGCUGCUCAAAGUCCACGAAGGUCGAUCGCAGAAAUCGAAGAGGCGCUUGCUUUCUCAAAAGCUGGGCUGCUCAGAGACCACGAGGGCCGAUCUCAGAAAUCGAAGAGGCACCUGCUUUUUCAGCCUUGUCAGCACCUGUCACAUGCACACUCAACUUUGCGAAAAUUACGGGCAUUAUGUCGAAGAUUUCUAGUGAAGUAGAAAGCACGUGAAUGUUACUGUUCAAUCAUUCACUUUCCACACGCAACAUCAGCUCACGGGUACCACAGAUAACUUUGCCAAAAAUCUAUGACAAAGUUUAGACACGUGAAGCUUGCAGCUCCCAUUACAUCGCUAUGACCAAGAAGGGUAAAAGAAUAGCAAAGAAACAGCACUAACAAAGUUUAGACACAUAAAUUUUGAAGGUCUAGCUACCAUAUUAUUACCCACAAGGAUAAAGGAACAGGACCAUUGCUGGAUAAUUGGAAAGUCCUUGUGGGUCAACCUCUGUGCUCCGUGGCAAGGUAGACUAGCAAACAGGCCUAACCUUUACUCACAUUCGAGAAAACACUCCCAACAAGAUUGCUUGCUUCAAGAUCGAAGAGGCACCGUCUUCCGAAUCUCGAGAGCCAGACUCCCAUCAUGAUUACUUUCUCAAAAAGCGACGAGACACCGCUCUCCGAAUCUCGAGAGCCAGACUCCUAGCAGGAUUGCUUUCUCAAAAAUCGAAGAGGCACCAUUCUCCGAAUCUUGAAAGACAGAUCCCCGACAGGAUUGCUUGUUCGAAAAUCGAAGAGGCACCGCUUUCUCAACUUCGAGAGCCCCUUAGAUAAAGCUUGUCUGUAAUCCUCACAUCGCUUUCUCAACUUCGAGAGCCAGAUCUCCUUGGAUAAAGCUUAUCUGUAAUCUUCACACGUAACAUCAGCUUUCCAGAUACUACAGACCACUUUUUCAAAGUGCUCUGACAGAGUUAAAACACGUGAAGCUGGCAGCUCCCACUACCGUGCUAUGACCAAGCAGGGUAAAAAAAUAGUAUUACUCCUUGUUAGGGAGACUCCUAUAUAUGUCGACCUCCAUCCUCAACGGACAGGCAGACCUGCAAAAAUGCUCAACCCUUCCUCAUAUCUGAGAGGGCACUCCCAACGAAGCCUCUCGAAAUACUCAGCUUUCUUUCCCCCCGAGAAUACCUCUGCAAACAAGCUACACUAGAGCAAGAAUAUCUCAUAUCAUCAGGGUUAAAAGCAAGAGUAUCCCAUAUCAUGUUUUUUCCCUGUCUUUUCCUUUGGCCUUGUUCUUACCUGCAAGACAAGGAGAAAGAAAGCAAUCAGUCAACACUUGGAAUCAAGCUUCCAGUCCGGAACUGACUGCCUGGAACCCCAUUACUCUCGAGUACUCAUCUUCAACAUCUUCAGCUUCCCGAGAAGAUACCACAUCUGCCUGAGGAGCAAAUAGGGCAAGUGAGAAGGAUACAAGCAAGCAUGUGGAGACAAGCGCAACAGAACACGUGCCGAUACAUCCACUACUUUGUCAAUAGCAAAAGUAUCCCAUAUCAGCAGGGUCGAACGUACUCUAGAUUUGAUGGACUUGUUUUGACCCUCAAAUUCUUCAGUCGGCCUUAUACUCUGGCGGAAACAAGAAAACCCUCCAGUCCAGUUCAAGAAUAAGCCUGUGGAAAGUUACUUAUUCAAAAGCAAAAGUAUCUCAUAUCACUUUUUCUCUUUUUCUUCUCUUUAUCCUUCAUGCUACCUGCAAGAUAAGGAGAAGGAUAACAAUCAGUCGGAACUCGAAAUCAAACUUCUGAUCUGGGACUGAUUGCUUGGAGCUCUGAUUACUUACCUUGUCUGUCACCUCUUUCAGCAGAUCCCCUAGCUCGGCGACUUGGGGGACUUCUACUACAUGGUUUGUAUCGCGCUUGACUAAGCCUGAAACUACAAGUAAGCGUCAAGUGAAAUUGAUACAUUACCUUGUGCAUCUCCACCAGUUAAAAAUACCACCCCUGGAUGGAGGAAGAGUACUUCCAAAGAAGAGGCCACAUCUACCUAUGAGACAGAUAAGGCAAGUGAAGACGAUACCACACUUCGGUACUUAAAAGUUUCGUGAUUACGAGAUCAUUCUUCCACAAUAUUUCAUAAUGUCAUUUGUACUAAAUCAUUCACUUGUACUCACUAAAGGAGAGCUUGAACCUAUAUACUGUGUAAACCCUUCACAAUUAAUGAGAACUCCUUUACUCCGUGGACGUAGCCAAUCUGGGUGAACCACGUACAUCUUGUGUUUGCUUCCUGUCUCUAUCCAUUUACAUACUUAUCCACACUAAUGACCGGAGCAAUCUAGCGAAGAUCAUAAACUUAAUAUUUAAAAUGAUAUUCUUUGGUGUAUGCUUUUCGCAAACGAUAUAGUGUUGAUAGAUGAAACGCAGGAAGGGGUAAACGCGAAGCUUAACCUUUGGAGAGAAGUGUUGGAAUCUAAAUGGUCCUAAGCCGAUCAAAGACAGAAUAUAUGGAGUGCAAGUUCAGUGCAAACGGAGGCCAAAAUGAGUUAGGGGUGAGGAUCGGAGAUCAGGAAAUACCAAAGAGCGACCGUUCUCACCCAUAGAAUACAAGCUGGAUGGAUGAAGUGGAAGAGUGCAUCCGGCGUGUUGUGUGACCGUCGUAGGCCACUGAAGCUCAAGGGAAAUUUUUAUAGGACGGCAAUAAGGCCGGCAAUGCUGUAUGGCAUAGAAUGUUGGGCGGUGAAGCAUCAACACGUAGGUGUAGUGGAGAUGAGGAUGCUUCGUUGGAUGUGUGGGCACACGAGAAAGGAUAAGAUUAGGAAUGAGGAUAUCCGAGGUAAAGUAGGAGUAGCCGAAAUUGAAGGAAAGAUGAGAGAAAAUCGAUUACGGUGGUUUGGACAUGUGCAAAGAAGGCCUACUGACGCUCCGGUUCGAAGAUGUGAUCACAGGGCAGAGGUUCAGGGCCGAAGGGGUAGAGGAAGACCUAUGAAAACUUUGGAAGAGACCCUAAGAAAAGACUUAGAGUACUUGGAUCCAACGGAGGACAUGACACAAAACUGAGCGCAAUGGCGUUCUAAGAUUCAUAUAGCCGACCCCACUUAAUAGGAAAAGGCUUUGUUGUUGUUGUUGUUGUAGUUAUUUAUAUAUCUCCUGUGAUAGUUUUAGUCUUUCAUACUUGGUUCUGUUUUAGGAUUGUGAAGAAUUUUAAUUAUGAUGCUGGGAAUUUGCUAAUUUUGCUGUUUGUGUGAUUUGGUUGGGAUUGCAGAGUGACUUGGGUUUCUAAAUUAGGAGUGUGCAAUAUUCUAUUCUCCUAAUUAGACUCUGUACAGGGCAAGGUUUACAAAGGAGAAGCAGAUGUUGCAGUGGUACUUAAAACCAAUUUAAAUAUUCUGUUAUGAAAAAAAAAAACAUAAAUAGAAAAAUAACGUAAAUAGACAUGUGGACCUAGCCCAGUCCAUCCCGUUACAUUUUAAAACAAGUCUAAUCCGAUCACUUCAAUUUAGUCCUAACGCGACCCGUGCCCACCCCCACAUAAAACUCUCUACCCCCCUAUCUAUCUAUUAUGUUUGAAAAAAAAAAAAGGCACUAAAAACUAAAAUUGUAAUUUAGUAACCUCUAAAUUCCCAUAAAUUGCAAAUUUCAUCCAUAUGACACUGUGUCGUCGUCAACCAUUUUUACCAAGUAAAACAAGACCAGCCAUUAUCAUGUCCAAAAGGCCAUAUUUGAUCGCCGGUCAAAAGCGGGAGACGCCACAAAUCUACGAUUACAACUCUUAUUAAUAUAUUGUAUUAUUCAACUUGCUUGAUUCAUGUUUGUCUUAAACCAACAUAAUUUGUCCCACCCGAAUAUGUUGCCUGCGCGUGUCUGACUCGACGUUGCCGUGGCACUCAUUAUCCAUAUCUUUGUGACGACCCACGCCUAUUUGACAUUUUGACUUGGCCAAACUUGCUCCUUGGAGAAAUUUCUGGACCUUCGCAACCGCCAACAGUCGCACAACUCUAUCACCACAUGUAUCUGACGUGGAAAUUAGUCACUGAUCUUUGAAGCGUGAAGAAACCUAAAAGCAUCCAGCGGCAACACUGACAGCCCAUCUCAACUCGUUUCUGUAAAGCGUUGACAUUAUAUUAUUUUAUUUUAUUUUAUUAAUAAGAAAUACCGACGAAAAAUAAAUAAAUAAAUCAAACAAUUGUUUUGAGCUAAUUAGACAAAUGACAUAGCUAUCCAUGUGUGGCCGGUGGAUCUGCGUUGCAGGUUUCUUGAAAGAAAAAAAACACCCAUCCCUCCCCCAAUCUGUCAUUGCGAGUCUUCUUGUUGACGUUAAAGGGCUGUCUUGGCCUAAAACAAUGACCUAGGAUUUUUUUUUAGACUUCUUCCGUAUAUGUUUGGAAACAGUAUUAGAAAUGGAGUACUUUGCAAUAUAUAUAUAAAGCUCGUUUGGAAGUGUUUUAAAAAUGACCGAAUGAGUUUUAAAAAAAAUGUUGUGUUUGAAAAACACCGAAAGUGCUUCCAAUAAGACACACUAAUUCUGCGAUUCUUGUGUAAGCAUUUCAAGAGUUUCUUCAAGAUUCAAUUAUAUUUUUGCAAAACAUUGGUUACAAAAACAUUUUCUUAAAAAAACGUUUUUAAUCAAUUAAAAAACAGUUACAAAAUAGCUCAUAUAAGUGUUUUUCUUUUUUACAGAAAAACAUUCUUGGUUUACAUAACCGAAAAACAAUAAUUUUUAUGACUUAUUUUGCAUGUGUGUCUUUAGUUUGUAAAAAUGUGAAGGCACUCCUUCUAGGAAACAUCCACCAAUGUCCCCCCAUAAUAUUUAUUCGUUUUUGCAAAAGAAAUAGAUAAUGUUUCAGGUUUAGAUUAUCCUAAUCUUAUACAAACCAACUUGACCAAAUCAGACUCUCAAGUUUGCUAUAAAUACACACCCUUGCCAAGCUUGUUCCAUAAAAAAAAAACAAAAAAAAAAACACACGUAUUCCGUCUUUCAAACACACACAGCACAAAGCAAACAGAGAAAGCAAUACACUUCAGAAAAAAACACAGUGCAAGUGUCAAAAAUAUUAUGGGUAAGGGAGGCCAAUCGAUUAAUGGAGUGGCUAAGGAAGCCAAACCUGUUGAGCAAGAAAACAUGGCUGCUUGGCUUGUUGAUGUCAACACCAUCAAGAUCCUACCUUUCGAGCUCCCCAGUAUCGGUAUUUACCUCUCUCCAUUCCUUUAAAUUCAUCGUUAUUUUUUUUCGGUUUUUAGUUUUCAUCGUUGUAGGGAUGCUAACAUGUUGCUCCCCUGUUCUCUUGGGAUUUCUUACUUUUAGGACCCAAUGAUGUCCGGAUUUGGAUUAAGGCUGUCGGCAUUUGUGGAAGCGAUGUUCACUACCUCAAGACCAUGAAAUGUGCGAAUUUUGAGGUCAAGGAGCCAAUGGUAAUCGGACAUGAGUGUGCUGGCAUCGUAGACAAAGUUGGGAG